CUACGGGGGGCACCAGGCGCGAAACCUCUACAAUGCACGAAAGUGUGAUAGGGGAACCCCAAGUGCUCAUGCUCUGCAUGGGCUUUUGCCAAAUGUAAAAAGUUUGGCGAAUAAGUGGUGGGUAAGACUGGUGCCAGCCGCCGCGGUAACACCAGCGCCACGAGUGGCAAUCAUAUUUAUUGGGCCUAAAGCGUCCGUAGCCGGCCUGUUAAAUUCUUUGUGAAAUUGUUUAGCUUAACUAAACAGCGUGCAGAGAAAACUGGCAGACUUGGGACCGGGAGGGGUUAGAGGUAUUCCUUGGGUAGCGGUAAAAUGCUAUAAUCCUUGGAGGACCACCUGUGGCGAAGGCGUCUAACCAGAACGGAUCCGACGGUGAGGGACGAAAGCUAGGGGAGCAAUCCGGAUUAGAUACCCCAGUAGUC
Molecule: ribosomal RNA, 422 nt
Filed under: uncultured archaeon
Lineage: Archaea
Description: partial 16S ribosomal RNA
Rfam family: Archaeal small subunit ribosomal RNA
Source: RNAcentral